Molecule: ribosomal RNA, 911 nt
Filed under: uncultured bacterium
Lineage: Bacteria
Description: bacterial SSU rRNA
Rfam family: Bacterial small subunit ribosomal RNA
Source: RNAcentral
UAACGCGUAUACAAUUUACCUUAUACAGAGGGAUAGCCUUUAGAAAUGAAGAUUAAUACCUCAUGGUAUUGAGGUGUGGCAUCACACUUUAAUUAAAGAUUUAUCGGUAUAAGAUGAGUAUGCGUCCUAUUAGCUAGAUGGUAGAGUAAUGGUUUACCAUGGCAACGAUAGGUAGGGGGUCCUGAGAGGGAGACCCCCCACACUGGUACUGAGACACGGACCAGACUCCUACGGGAGGCAGCAGUGAGGAAUAUUGGACAAUGGAGGCAACUCUGAUCCAGCCAUGCCGCGUGCAGGAAGACUGCCCUAUGGGUUGUAAACUGCUUUUAUAGAGGAAGAAACCCUCCCACGUGUGGGAGGCUGACGGUACUCUACGAAUAAGCACCGGCUAACUCCGUGCCAGCAGCCGCGGUAAUACGGAGGGUGCAAGCGUUAUCCGGAAUCAUUGGGUUUAAAGGGUCCGUAGGCGGGCAAAUAAGUCAGAGGUGAAAUCCCACAGCUCAACUGUGGAACUGCCUUUGAUACUGUUUGUCUUGAGUUUUAGUGAAGUAGAUAGAAUGUGUAGUGUAGCGGUGAAAUGCAUAGAUAUUACACAGAAUACCGAUUGCGAAGGCAGUCUACUAACUAAUAACUGACGCUAAUGGACGAAAGCGUGGGGGAGCGAACAGGAUUUAGAUACCCUGGUAGUCCCACGCCGUAAACGAUGGAUACUAGUUGUUGGGUUUAUACUCAGUGACUAAGCGAAAAGUGAUAAGUAUCCCACCUGGGGAGUACGUUCGCAAGAAUGAAACUCAAAGGAAUUGACGGGGGCCCGCACAAGCGGUGGAGCAUGUGGUUUAAUUCGAUGAUACGCGAGGAACCUUACCAGGGCUUAAAUGUAAGUUGCAUAGAGUAGAGAUAUUCUUUUCUUC